This 1369-nucleotide long non-coding RNA is filed under the name Cicer arietinum (chickpea). Its description in RNAcentral is "long non-coding RNA (CARI_LNC002017)". The record is from RNAcentral. Lineage: Eukaryota; Viridiplantae; Streptophyta; Magnoliopsida; Fabales; Fabaceae.
AAAAUCUAAUUUAGCACUCUAAAUCAAAACAUAUUGAAAUAAAACAUCAUUUUAUUCGUGAUCAUGUUAACAAGAAAGAUAUUGAAUUAAUCUUUGUUGAUACUCCAAAUCAGCUAGUUGACAUUUUUACAAAGCCUCUAGUUGAGGAUAGUUUCAAUUUCAUCAAAGAAAAAUUGAAAAUUGUGAAAAACCCCAAAAAAUUCAAGUUAAAAUAUGUUUCUGUAGAAAACGGAGAACGAUAAUCAAUCUAUGUUUUCCAGACAUCAUUCUCCGUUUUCAACCAUCAUUCUCCCCUGCGUCAUCACUUUCUCUCUUGCCCAUAAAAGGCAAAUCUUGGCAUUUAAUUCAUGUGUCUUCUUGUCUUCAAAAAGGGUACUGACACGCUAUCGAGUGACUUUCUGCCCCCAAAUUUCUUCUCCUUCCCAAGGUUCAAAUCAUCAUUCCAUUUUCUCUUCAAAAUAAAAAAUUCUGUUGUAAAUUGAACCACAACAAACCCUUCAUUUUCUCAACUCUGUUUUCUCCAAAUCAUUUUCUCAAAACACAACAAUGACGUGCACUAAGACAUUUGCAUGCAAACAAGUUAUUUGUGACAGUUGAAUCGACUCACCUGACAUAUGAAUAAACAAGUUUUAAGAGGUUUUGUGAAUCGACUCACACACAUAUGGAUUGACUCACAUUGCUUUAGAAUCAAAUUUUGAGCUUUCAAGAAUCUUAUGAAUCAAUUCAGAAGACUGUAAGUUGAUUCACACAAUCUACAUAACUAGUUUUUGAUAUUUACAAAUCAAUUAUGAUGCAUUGUAAUUUCACUAACCAACUCAUGUUCCUUAAAUAUUGAUAUGUUAUAUAAUUCCGAGGAAGAAAACUUUCAAUUAUUCCUCAUCAUUCAUUCAUGUGAGAUAAUAAUCAAGAUUAAAAAAAUUUAUAGUUCAAGUCUUGUGUGAUUUUGAGUUAUUAAGCGAUAAUUAACAAGGGUGAGGUAUCACUUGUUGGAGUGAUUUUUUCAAAUGUGGGCAAUUGAGAGAAUUUCGAUUAUCUACACGUUGAAGGUCUGAAAAUAUGUGUCUUUUCAAGUUCUAAAGUGGUAGUAACUCUAGAGGUUUUUAUCUUGUAAGAUUGGAGGGGCUGUCUUCCUCUUGAAAAUAAUGGUUUAUAUUUCGUCUUGCUUCAAGAAAUCUGGUUUAUAGGGGUUUAGAUGUUCAUUAUAAUAAAGAGAAAAACUCUUCAUCAUUUGAAUGGGAACUGACUGUACUCUUCAUGCAAGGAUUAAGUAGAUGAAUCAAUAUAAAAUCACGAUGUGAUUUUUUUUUCUUUAAUCAUUUUACUUUUAUUGUUUGAUAUUCAUUAUAUUUUCUAUAAUGGAGUUUGGAAG